This 228-nucleotide small RNA is filed under the name Oryza sativa Japonica Group (Japanese rice). RNAcentral describes it as "sRNA Os11g0226301". Lineage: Eukaryota; Viridiplantae; Streptophyta; Magnoliopsida; Poales; Poaceae. The record is from RNAcentral.
GAAGUAACAUCUUGGCUACUCGAAUUGACUUUUAACCCAGUCACUAUCUCGAUUAUCAAAACACCCAAGCUGAAUAUGUCUGAUUUGGUUGAGAUUUCACCGCUGUAACGAUACUCCGGGGCAAUGUAUCCUCUGAAUUACAGAAACACUAAUAUUUUAAUUGCUAUAGGAUUGGAAAUGCAAUGGGAAACAAUAAAUCUUCAAUAAUGAAAAUAUGGAGGUUAUUAU